GUGCUAGUUUGUCAAGUGUUCCCAUCAGUGGGUCCAUCCCUUGCAUGACUCACAACCCGUCAAUUCAUACUCUAGUAUAUGAGCUGUGACAGCCGACCCUGUCUGACUCCCAGAAGGCGAAAAUUUUUAACCUAAAAUCAGACACUAAACCAACCCUUCCGGCAGAAAAAACUGAAAGCCUUUCGACUUUCGGGUUCUGCAUCGAUCUAAUUAUUUUUGAAAUCGUAAAAGGCCCUGCAUAGUGAAUUUAUAGGGACUUUGGUUACUCUCUCCUUAAAAAGUCGAUUUCAAGGUUGCGUUCAAUGUCAUUUUCCAGCAGAAGUAAACCAGUCCUGUACUCAUCUCUGGUAGUGCUGUUAAUCAUUUGGGUCCCAAGAGAAUGCAAAGUGUCAGCAUUAAGAAUAUUUCCAGCCGUAGAAGAAGACACAGAAUCAAUUCUGGAAUCCAACAAGAAUCAAACAGACAUAUUUCACAAAUACUUCAAUGACACCGUAGUUUUUGAUCUCAACAACGCUUCAAAUGGUACGUUUCUUGAUUACAAAAGGAGAAUACCCAGCAGCCCAGAUCCUCUCCACAAUAAAUAGUAUCAGUUAAUAAUUAAUUAUUACUAGUCUUUUAUUGGAAUUAUUUUCUAAUUUUUUCUUAUUUAUUUAUUUAUUUUUGCUGGAUUUUAUCUAAAAUACCCACGUUUUACUGAUAGUUAUAGUGGUAAUUUUGUGGUUAAACCGUGUGUAUUUUGGUACUUGAAGUUGAAAGAUGCAGUUUUUGCUUCAGAGAGUAAGCAGAUAAUGGGUAAUUUGUAUAAAAGACUAGUUACCGUUUUCAAUUUUUUACUGCAUAUCUACAUUUAUUUGGUCUUUAUCUAUCUAUUGAUAUUUCAGUUCAGAUUUUUACUCCCAUUUAUUCACGACUGCAGGAUGUUCUUGUUAAUUAUAUAGUUAACUU
This 945-nucleotide long non-coding RNA is filed under the name Olea europaea subsp. europaea. Lineage: Eukaryota; Viridiplantae; Streptophyta; Magnoliopsida; Lamiales; Oleaceae. The record is from RNAcentral.